This 218-nucleotide unclassified non-coding RNA is filed under the name uncultured fungus. RNAcentral's name for it is "sequence contains ITS1, 5.8S rRNA gene". The stretch from base 170 to 218 matches the Rfam family "5.8S ribosomal RNA", at positions 1 to 49 of the family's 154-position model. Lineage: Eukaryota; Fungi. The record is from RNAcentral.
UCUCCGUUGGUGAACCAGCGGAGGGAUCAUUACAGAGUUGCAAAACUCCCUAAACACUUGUGAACCACCUCGUUGCUUCGGGGGCGACCCUGCCGUUCGCGGCGUGGGGCCCCCGGAGCCCAUCAAACCCUGCGUAACUAAGUCGUCGGAGUUUAAACAAAUUAAACAAAACUUUCAACAACGGAUCUCUUGGUUCGGGCAUCGAUGAAGAACGCAGC